GCGGCUUGGGCUGUGAUGGAGAAAGAAACCAAUGAUAGCUGGAAGUGGUUUAUUGUUCUGUUAAUCAAAGACUUGGAUAUUAAUGACCAAGGAGCAGGUUGGGUUUUCAUUUCUGAUCAGCAGAAGGUAAUUCUUUACUUACUUACUUGCUUUAAUUGCUUUGCUUACUUGCUUUACUUAAAUGGAAAUCUUAUUUAG
Molecule: ribosomal RNA, 198 nt
Filed under: Triticum aestivum (bread wheat)
Lineage: Eukaryota; Viridiplantae; Streptophyta; Magnoliopsida; Poales; Poaceae
Description: partial small subunit ribosomal RNA
Source: RNAcentral